This 85-nucleotide transfer RNA is filed under the name Methanomicrobiaceae archaeon. RNAcentral's name for it is "tRNA-Leu". It matches the Rfam family "tRNA". From Rfam's summary of the family: Transfer RNA (tRNA) molecules are approximately 80 nucleotides in length. Their secondary structure includes four short double-helical elements and three loops (D, anti-codon, and T loops). Further hydrogen bonds mediate the characteristic L-shaped molecular structure. tRNAs have two regions of fundamental functional importance: the anti-codon, which is responsible for specific mRNA codon recognition, and the 3' end, to which the tRNAs corresponding amino acid is attached (by aminoacyl-tRNA synthetases). tRNAs cope with the degeneracy of the genetic code in two manners: having more than one tRNA (with a specific anti-codon) for a particular amino acid; and 'wobble' base-pairing, i.e. permitting non-standard base-pairing at the 3rd anti-codon position. The record is from RNAcentral. Lineage: Archaea; Methanobacteriati; Methanobacteriota; Methanomicrobia; Methanomicrobiales; Methanomicrobiaceae.
GCGAGGGUAUCUAAGCCAGGCCAAAAGAGCCGGACUUAAGAUCCGGUGGAGCAGUCCUACGUGGGUUCGAAUCCCAUCCCUCGCA